AGUGAACGCUGGCGGUAGGCCUAACACAUGCAAGUCGAACGGCAGCACAGUAAGAGCUUGCUCUUACGGGUGGCGAGUGGCGGACGGGUGAGGAAUACAUCGGAAUCUACUUUUUCGUGGGGGAUAACGUAGGGAAACUUACGCUAAUACCGCAUACGACCUACGGGUGAAAGCAGGGGAUCUUCGGACCUUGCGCGAUUGAAUGAGCCGAUGUCGGAUUAGCUAGUUGGCGGGGUAAAGGCCCACCAAGGCGACGAUCCGUAGCUGGUCUGAGAGGAUGACUGGCCACAAGGGAACUGAGACACGGUCCAGAAUCCUACGGGAGGCAGCAGUAGGGAAUCUUCAGAAAUGGGGGAAAGCUUGACGGAGCAAGGGAGAGUGAGUGAUGAAGGUCUUCGGAUCGUAAAACUCUGUUAUGAGGGAAGAACAAAUGUGUAAGUAAAUAUGCACGUCUUGACGGGACCUAAUCAGAAAGACACGGCUAACUACGUG
RNAcentral lists this ribosomal RNA (492 nucleotides) under uncultured bacterium. RNAcentral's name for it is "partial 16S ribosomal RNA". It matches the Rfam family "Bacterial small subunit ribosomal RNA", at positions 29 to 507 of the family's 1533-position model. The record is from RNAcentral.